UCUUUAUUCAUGUUCAUAUGCUGCUUUAGGCCCAAAGAUUUCUCACUGUUUAUGGCAUCUCAUUGGAGGAGAAUUAAUGAAAAUUAUUUCCAGUCUGGAACUUCAGUGUUCACUAUAAAGCUAGGAAAUGCCAGAGUUAGUUCCUUGAGAUAUAAAAGAGUCAUAUUCUUUAUAAGAGAUGGAUUCUUUGCCACAUAUUCCUUCCAUUCUUCUUGAUCAAG
RNAcentral lists this unclassified non-coding RNA (221 nucleotides) under Hevea brasiliensis (rubber tree). Lineage: Eukaryota; Viridiplantae; Streptophyta; Magnoliopsida; Malpighiales; Euphorbiaceae. The record is from RNAcentral.